AUAGAACGCUGGCGGCAUGCCUUACACAUGCAAGUCGAACGAGACCUUCGGGUCUAGUGGCGCACGGGUGCGUAACGCGUGGGAAUCUGCCCUGGGGUGCGGAAUAACUCGGAGAAAUCCGUGCUAAUACCGCAUAAUGUCUUCGGACCAAAGAUUUAUUGCCCUGGGAUGAGCCCGCGUAGGAUUAGCUAGUUGGUGAGGUAAAGGCUCACCAAGGCGACGAUCCUUAGCUGGUCUGAGAGGAUGAUCAGCCACACUGGGACUGAGACACGGCCCAGACUCCUACGGGAGGCAGCAGUGGGGAAUAUUGGACAAUGGGCGAAAGCGUGAACCAGCAACGCCGCGUGUGCGAUGAAGGCCUUCGGGUUGUAAAGCACUUUUCGGGAGGAAGAGGAAGGACUGUACUCCCAGAAUAAGCCUCGGCUAACUACGUG
This 434-nucleotide ribosomal RNA is filed under the name uncultured bacterium. Its description in RNAcentral is "bacterial SSU rRNA". It matches the Rfam family "Bacterial small subunit ribosomal RNA", at positions 31 to 507 of the family's 1533-position model. The record is from RNAcentral.